Molecule: ribosomal RNA, 155 nt
Filed under: uncultured bacterium
Lineage: Bacteria
Description: partial 16S ribosomal RNA
Source: RNAcentral
CUGCUGCCUCCCGUAGGAGUUUGGGCCGUGUCUCAGUCCCAAUGUGGCCGUCCACCCUCUCAGGCCGGCUACUGAUCGCUGCCUUGGUGGGCCGUUACCCCGCCAACUAGCUAAUCAGACGCGGAUCCAUCGUAUACCACCGGAGUUUUCUACAC